RNAcentral lists this ribosomal RNA (645 nucleotides) under Desulfovibrionales bacterium LSR-S1F7. Its description in RNAcentral is "bacterial SSU rRNA". It matches the Rfam family "Bacterial small subunit ribosomal RNA", at positions 96 to 724 of the family's 1533-position model. The record is from RNAcentral. Lineage: Bacteria; Pseudomonadati; Thermodesulfobacteriota; Desulfovibrionia; Desulfovibrionales.
UGGCGCACGGGUGAGUAACGCGUGGAUAAUCUGCCCUUAUGAUUGGAAUAACAGUUGGAAACGGCUGCUAAUACCGGAUACGCUCAAAAUGAACUUUUUGAGGAAAGAUGGCCUCUGCUUGCAUGCUAUCGCAUAAGGAUGAGUCCGCGUCCCAUUAGCUUGUUGGCGGGGUAACGGCCCACCAAGGCAACGAUGGGUAGCCGAUUUGAGAGGAUGAUCGGCCACACUGGAACUGAAACACGGUCCAGACUCCUACGGGAGGCAGCAGUGGGGAAUAUUGCGCAAUGGGCGAAAGCCUGACGCAGCGACGCCGCGUGAGGGAUGAAGGUUUUCGGAUCGUAAACCUCUGUCAGAAGGGAAGAAACUACGUUGUGCUAAUCAGCAGCGUACUGACGGUACCUUCAAAGGAAGCACCGGCUAACUCCGUGCCAGCAGCCGCGGUAAUACGGAGGGUGCAAGCGUUAAUCGGAAUUACUGGGCGUAAAGCGCACGUAGGCUGUAGUGUAAGUCAGGGGUGAAAUCCCACGGCUCAACCGUGGAACUGCCUUUGAUACUGCACAACUUGAAUCCGGGAGAGGGUGGCGGAAUUCCAGGUGUAGGAGUGAAAUCCGUAGAUAUCUGGAGGAACAUCAGUGGCGAAGGCGG